CGGUAAUUUUAGCCAAACAUGGCCGUUUGUUUUGCUUUGCUCGUCUUGACGCUUCGCUUGUCUAAUCUCUGGAACUGCAGCUUCCCUCGCUGACUUGCCGUUGGCAAGCCCCGCUCCAAGCAUCUCCGCGCCUGCUUCUGCCGAAUCGCAGAGCCCCUCUCCCGCUUCCCCCCUCUCCCCUCUUCUCUCAUCAUUGAUUCGAUUUUCCUCGCCCCUGGAGCUUCAAAUUCAAGUGAAGGAGCCAGUUAAGGCUUGCCAAAACUAGCGGCGGCAUCGGCAAUGCUCUAGUUGGCCUUUCCUUCCCUCCCAGCUCGAGCAGCGCAGCGCGGCCCUCUUUAUCUCUCUCGGCAGUGGAGGCAGCGUCACCCUUCGCCUAAAUCACCACCACCAGCUCUGGAGCGCCGCGUCGCCGCUCCUCUACCAUUUCCUGGUAUAUUGGACCGGAACGGACUAACGGAGUGGAGUUCUGCUAUUGAUCAUUGUGAGUUCAUCCCCACUCCAAUCCAUCUGUCCAUGGUCCGUAUGAGCUCAUCUUCCUCGGCGUCUGGGGUCAAUCUGACAGAGCAAAUCGAGAAUGUUUUUGACCAACUGAUCAGCAAAAUUGAACAAGCGGAUCCAGAUUUUGACCCGCGGCCCUUUUUGAAACAAUUGAAUGUGUUAGGCCGCUAUGAACCAAUCAAGCGGAAUGUAUAUUUCACUAAGAGAUACAUUGAAGAUUAUGGCAUUUCUUGUCACUGUAAGCCUUCUCCUGGUUCAUCAGUUGUGUGUGGCAGAGACUGCUAUUGUAGCAUGCUUUUCUCUUGCUGUUCAUCACAAUGUGAAUGUGAUAUUGCGUGCACCAAUAAAUCAUUCCAGCACAGACCUCUUACGAAAACCAAAUUGAUUAAGACAGAGAAAUGUGGUCAUGGAUUGGUUGCUGAGGAUGAAAUAAAGAAAGGAGAAUUUGUUAUUGAGUAUGUUGGAGAAGUUAUUGAUGACAGAACAUGUGAGAAUAGGCUAUGGACAAUGAAAAGGCUGGAUGACACUGACUUCUACCUUUGUGAGGUCAGCAGUAAUAUGGUCAUUGAUGCAACAAACAAGGGAAACCUGUCCCGAUUUAUAAACCAUAGUUGUGAACCAAACACAGCGAUGCAGAAAUGGACUGUUGAUGGAGAGACCAGGGUUGGAAUUUUUGCACUUCGUGACAUAAAGAUAGGGGAGGAGCUGACAUAUGACUAUAAAUUUGUCCAGUUUGGAGCAGCUCAGGUUUGUCAUUGUGGAUCUUCAAAGUGCAGAAAAAUGCUAGGCACAACAAAGUAUUCAGGAAGCUCACAGAAUCAUCGUACCAAGAAGAAAAAGAGGAAAACAAGUUGUGAGAAUUGCAUACAGCAGUUUCUUCGUCUGUGGCAUCCACGACAAAAAAUGUAUGUUGGAUGUUGGAUAGUUGACUUCGAUCAAGGAACUAAAAUGCAUACUCUCCAGUUCAUUGAUCACCAUACUGAAAAGUUUGAUUUGAAAGAAGAAGAAUGGCACUUCUUGGAGGUUCUAAGGUGUCAAAGGAAAAUGAAUAAAUGGAUGAUGCUCAAUGAACAAGGUCGACUCUGAUGAAGAUUGAUCAUUGAAGUUUUAUUGCAUCCUUGUACAAGGAAUAGUCGUGCCAGAUGAUAUUGGCAUGAGGUGUGGUUAAGUCUCAACUUCCAAUUAUGUUGUGCAUCUUUGGAAAAUGUAAUCUGGCCAGUAACCUUUGGAGGAUGACCGACUUCGGUUGUCAUGGUUUGCUGCUCCGCCAGCUAGUUCGCGGUUCAUUUGCGGUCGCAGCAUAGACAGACGGAUGGCCAGUUCUCUCCCAUUUGGAGUCUACUGCAAGCCUGAAUUGUGGCAUUCGUGCAUGCCCUUGGGCAUCAUAAACUGUAACUGCUGCUUCCAGCUGCCAGACUGAAACUUGAGGCGGCAUGAUCGAAGUGAUUUGUCAUUUGUCCCCUGGGUAGCGGCAGGUUGAUGGACGCAUGCAUGCAUGCAUGAUAUAGGCCAAAAACUGCCGCUGUGUACUCGAAGCAGGCAACUGUACAAUACAACCCUGUGUAACUUGUAAACUAGAGGACUUGUUUGGAAGAAACCCUGUGCAACCCUGUGUAUUGUAGUACUAGUUUCACCGAAGGUGUUGUUUGGUAAUGAGAUAUACAGCAGUACCUCCAUGGGUGUGUGUUGUCUGUUCUCCAAAGAAAUGCUGUACUGGUGCUAGAGAAAGUGUGGAACUGAAGCACAGUUUGCUUUAGAAAUAGA
RNA transcript from Zea mays, 2262 nucleotides. RefSeq lists it as uncharacterized. The transcript has 15 exons. NCBI's taxonomy places the organism in Eukaryota, Viridiplantae, Streptophyta, Magnoliopsida, Poales, Poaceae. The record is from RefSeq and is marked provisional.